AACUAACUAGGAAAGCAAUAAAUAUAGUCCUAAAAUAUAUGGGAAUAAAUCUCAAACCAACUUGGAUAGAAUCUUGAAAAUCUUAAGGAAAUUUGCAAGCAACUUGGCAACUAACUUGCACUUAACAUCUAGCACGCCUAUUUUACCCUUCUUGGACAUCAAGUAAGUGCUUUUUAUGCUAUUAAAAUAUGGUUUUAUGCAGGUCUUCAUGGGCUGCAAGUUUGGACACAUUUUAGAUGCCAAAAUUGUCCAACAGUGGCCUGAUUUGGACUUUAUUCAGAGGAUGUUUCUUGGGAUCUAAUCCACCUCUUCUUGGACUUCAAUUUGGGCCAUAAAAUAAUUAUAACACCUAGAUAACUCAUAUACUUUAUCUUUAAGUUGUUCCUCUCAACUAACAACUUCUUUGAUCGCUCCUGAAGUCCAAUGACCUUGUUUUGUAGCUUUUUAGCUUGAGAUUCCAAUACUUCAUCCUUGUCAUUGAAUAGAUUUGAGCUUCCUAUGAUGCUAUCAUUCCCCUCUUCUUGAAGAAAAUUAGUUCUCGAAUUUCGGCCUUGCAAGAAAACGAAGACAAGCACUAGUAAAUGACAUCCACUAAUCUGAAAAAAUGGUAAAAAUAAAACAUGAUAGUGACCAUGAUAACAACUAGGUCAGGAAUCCAAAUUAGAGUAAGAAUUUGAGAAGUAAAUGCGGAAACAAUAACAACAAGGAAUUGAACAACUAAAAUUAAAGAGAUGAAAAUAAAGGAUAUGGGACGAAUUCAAGGAAAGAAAUCUAAGAACUUCCAAGAACGUAAGUUCUAUAGCCUUGACAAGAUCAAAGUAACAACUUCUUGAUUUAUGGAAGAAAUCAAACGCCUUUACUUAAAAAGCAAAUCAAAACAAUAGAUUCGGAUCUUGACCACUUUACGAGUAACUUGAGACAACAAUUAAUAACUAGUAUUAAUCGCCUUCUAAGAAUACCACAAAGGAAUCAAAGAUAUCAUAAAAAGAGAAGUAAUCUUACUACCUUGAACUAAGAACUAGUAAAGGUUGAAAGAUAAAUCUCAAAAGCACAAGUAACAAAGGUUCAAAAGAACUCUCGAAGUAUGAUAU
Molecule: long non-coding RNA, 1091 nt
Filed under: Nicotiana tabacum (common tobacco)
Lineage: Eukaryota; Viridiplantae; Streptophyta; Magnoliopsida; Solanales; Solanaceae
Description: long non-coding RNA (NTAB_LNC013490)
Source: RNAcentral